Camellia sinensis is the source of this 2124-nucleotide non-coding RNA. The record is from RefSeq and is a predicted model, not a curated record. NCBI's taxonomy places the organism in Eukaryota, Viridiplantae, Streptophyta, Magnoliopsida, Ericales, Theaceae.
UUCUGAUAAUGGGGGUGAAUCGGGGUUAGAGAGUUAUUUUUCCAUUCAUGGAAUUAUACAUCAGACAUCUUGCACCCCUCAACAAAAUAGGGUUGCAGAACGCAAGAAUCGUCAUCUUCUUGAUUUGGCUCGCUGCAUGUGUUUUUCUAUGAGUGUGCCUCGAUCCUACUGGGCCGAGGCAGUUCUCACUACAGCCUAUCUCAUCAAUUGUUUUCCUACCUAGGUUUUACAAAAACAAGCUUCACUUCAAGUCUUUCUUGGUUCAAAGUCUUUGUUUUUUAUUCCCUCUAAAAUAUUUGGUUGUGUCUGUUUUGUCCACAUUCAUUCUCCAACUCAUGGUAAGUUGGACCCUUGCUCUCUCAAGUGUGUUUUCCUCGGGAUACUCACCUACUCAAGAGGGGUAUAAGUGUUAUCACCCUUCUUCUCGUAAGUGGUUUGUGUCUAUGGAUGUCACCUUCUUUGAGUCCCAGUCCUACUUCUUGUCUUCUCUGGUGUCACAGCCAUCUCUUUAGGGGGAGCCUUGGUGUGAAGAGAUUCCUAUUGUCCCUAUUGCUCCUAUGGUAGAACUAGUUGUUCCCGCACCACCUAUUACUGGGACUAUAGAAUGGAAUGCCACCAAGGAUAAGGAAUGUCAAGUUUAUGUUAAGGACAAAGACAGACAGAAAGUUACUUGGAUACAAGAGACCACUUUUGCUCAUCCACUGCCAUCUCCUGCUUUCGAUAAGAGUACAGGUAACUUUGAACCUCUUGUUUCUCUUGAGUCUACUGAUGUUGCUAUUCCUGACACUAUUGAUUUUGAUAUUCCUAUUGCCAAGAGAAAGGGUGUGAGAUCUUGUACUCAACGUCCUAUCUCAAACUUUGUGUCCUACUCUCAUUUAUCUCCCUAUUAUAGAGCCUUUGUGUCAAACAUUUCCUCUCCUAACCAUUUUCAGGAUGUUCUCGCUACCUCUAAAUAGAAACUUGCCAUGAUUGAGGAAAUGAAAGCACUUCGUAAGAAUGACACUUGGAAAUUAACUGAGUUAGUUAAGGACAAACGACCGAUGAGAUGCAAAUGGAUGUAUACUGUGAAGCACAAAGUAGAUGGUUCCAUUGAGCGUUAUAAAGCUCGACUUGUGGCAAAAGGCUUUACUUAGACUUAUGAAGUAGACUAUUAGGAGACUUUUGCACCAUUGACUAAGAUGAAUUCAGUCAGAAUACUUCUCUCUCUAGUAUCUAAUUUAGAUUAGCUACUUCAUCAGUUUGAUGUAAAAAAUGCUUUCUUACAUAGUGGUCUAGAAUAAGAGGUAUAUAUGAACAUUCCUCCUGAUUUGGAGAAUCAUUAGACAUAAGGUAAAGUAUGCAGGCUUUGGAAGUCAUUAUAUGGUCUCAAACAGUCUCCAAGGGCUUGGUUUGACAGAUUCACUCAGGCUAUGCUUAAAUAUGGUUUCAAAUAGAGUCAGGCUAAUCACACUUUCUUUAUAAAACAUUCCUCAUGUGGUAAGACUACAGUUUUCAUUGUUUAUGUGGAUGACAUAGUGCUUACAGGUGAUGAUAGUGUGGAAAUAUCUGUUGAAGAAAUAUUUAGCUAGUGAGUUUGAAAUCAAAGACUUGGGGAACUUGAAAUGUCUUUUGGGAAUCAAAGUUGCUCGCUCCAAGGAUGGGAUUUUCAUCUCACAAAGGAAAUAUGUUCUUGACCUUUUGAAGGAAAUAUGGAUGCUUAGAUGUGAGGCCUGUGAUACCCCACUGGAACCUAAUUAGAAACUUGGUGAUGAUGAAGGAGGAGCAGUUGUUGAUAGGGAGAGUUAUCAGCGACUAGUGGUCCAGGCUUCAAGCAAAGCAGGAAAUUGGUGGAAACAUGCUAAGAUAUUCAGGUACUUUUGAUGCAAUUAUGAAGAUGAUCCGUUUUGAAGGGUUGUCCAGCUUUUACAAGGGGAUGAGCACAAAGAUAGUACAGAGUGUUUUUGCAGCCUCAGUACUUUUUAUGGUUAAGGAAGAGCUUGUUAAGGCUUUUGCGGUGCUCGCAGAUAAAUGCCAGAAAUUUCGAUUGAAUAUUGUGAAAUGAUUCCUUUGGCUUGUAUAAAAACUAAAUGCACUGUUCUUCUGGUCUCUUCUUCAUUCGCAAUAAAUGAAUGUUGUUUUACGUCA